ACGAACGCUGGCGGCGUGCUUAACACAUGCAAGUCGAACGGAAAGGCCCUGCUUGCAGGGUACUCGAGUGGCGAACGGGUGAGUAACACGUGGGUGAUCUGCCCUGCACUUCGGGAUAAGCCUGGGAAACUGGGUCUAAUACCGGAUAGGAGCCAUUUUUAGUGUGAUGAUUGGAAAGUUUUUUCGGUGUAGGAUGAGCUCGCGGCCUAUCAGCUUGUUGGUGGGGUAAUGGCCUACCAAGGCGGCGACGGGUAGCCGGCCUGAGAGGGUGGACGGCCACAUUGGGACUGAGAUACGGCCCAGACUCCUACGGGAGGCAGCAGUGGGGAAUAUUGCACAAUGGGCGCAAGCCUGAUGCAGCGACGCCGCGUGGGGGAUGACGGCCUUCGGGUUGUAAACUCCUUUCGCUAGGGACGAAGCUUUUUGUGACGGUACCUAGAUAAGAAGCACCGGCUAACUACGUG
Molecule: ribosomal RNA, 464 nt
Filed under: uncultured bacterium
Lineage: Bacteria
Description: partial 16S ribosomal RNA
Rfam family: Bacterial small subunit ribosomal RNA
Source: RNAcentral